UACCUAUCAGAGGGGGAUAGCCCGGCGAAAGUCGGAUUAAUACCCCAUAAAACAGGGUUCCCGCAUGGGAAUAUUUGUUAAAGAUUCAUCGCUGAUAGAUAGGCAUGCGUUCCAUUAGGCAGUUGGCGGGGUAACGGCCCACCAAACCGACGAUGGAUAGGGGUUCUGAGAGGAAGGUCCCCCACAUUGGUACUGAGACACGGACCAAACUCCUACGGGAGGCAGCAGUGAGGAAUAUUGGUCAAUGGCCGAGAGGCUGAACCAGCCAAGUCGCGUGAAGGAAGAAGGAUCUAUGGUUUGUAAACUUCUUUUAUAGGGGAAUAAAGUGGAGGACGUGUCCUUUUUUGUAUGUACCCUAUGAAUAAGCAUCGGCUAACUCCGUGCCAGCAGCCGCGGUAAUACGGAGGGUGCGAGCGUUAUCCGGAUUUAUUGGGUUUAAAGGGUGCGUAGGUGGUGAUUUAAGUCAGCGGUGAAAGUUUGUGGCUCAACCAUAAAAUUGCCGUUGAAACUGGGUUACUUGAGUGUGUUUGAGGUAGGCGGAAUGCGUGGUGUAGCGGUGAAAUGCAUAGAUAUCACGCAGAACUCCGAUUGCGAAGGCAGCUUACUAAAC
RNAcentral lists this ribosomal RNA (610 nucleotides) under uncultured Bacteroidales bacterium. RNAcentral describes it as "bacterial SSU rRNA". It matches the Rfam family "Bacterial small subunit ribosomal RNA", at positions 127 to 734 of the family's 1533-position model. Lineage: Bacteria; Pseudomonadati; Bacteroidota; Bacteroidia; Bacteroidales. The record is from RNAcentral.